This 403-nucleotide ribosomal RNA is filed under the name bacterium. Its description in RNAcentral is "partial 16S ribosomal RNA". It matches the Rfam family "Bacterial small subunit ribosomal RNA", at positions 355 to 776 of the family's 1533-position model. The record is from RNAcentral.
UGGGGAAUAUUGCACAAUGGGGGAAACCCUGAUGCAGCGACGCCGCGUGAACGAAGAAGGUAUUCGUAUCGUAAAGUUCUGUCCUAUGGGAAGAUAAUGACAGUACCAUAGAAGAAAGCUCCGGCUAAAUACGUGCCAGCAGCCGCGGUAAUACGUAUGGAGCGAGCGUUGUCCGGAAUUAUUGGGCGUAAAGGGUACGCAGGCGGUUUAAUAAGUCGAAUGUUAAAGAUCGGGGCUCAACCCCGCAAAGCAUUGGAAACUGAUAAACUUGAGUAGUGGAGAGGAAAGUGGAAUUCCUAGUGUAGUGGUGAAAUACGUAGAUAUUAGGAGGUAUACCAGUAGCGAAGGCGACUUUCUGGACACAAACUGACGCUGAGGUACGAAAGCGUGGGGAGCAAACAGG